UAGAUGAUGUGUGAAUAUAAAACGCUAGUUGUCUCAGCAUUUCAGAUCAAACGGACUAUGUCCUUCUUGGGAGCAGCUGCAGGAAUUCAAGCAGUGAAACAGGCAGGGCAUCUUGCACUUAUUUUUUUUAUAAGCACCAGGCUCCUCCAUCACCACAAUCCUCACCCAUUUUCCUUCCAUUCAAGGGAGAGGAGGAGGAGGACAACCAACAUGGAGCAGCCAUGGGAACUGCUCAGCAUUUCACAGAAUCACAGAAUCACAGAAUUGUAGGGGUUGGAAGGGACCUCCAGAGAUCAUCGAGUCCAAUCCCCCUGCCAAAGCAGGUUCCCUACAGCAGGUCGCACAGGUCGGCAUCCAGGCAGGUCUUGAACAUCUCCAGAGAAGGAGACUCCACCACCUCCCUGGGCAGCCUGUUCCAGUGUUCCAGUUUGCCCCCCAGUGUUUCAGUGGCUAAUAACGGGCAAUGAUACCUCCCAGAAAAAAACACUGUGUAAGGAUUUGGUCAGGAAAUUUCCAAUUUGCAAAUUUUUGGAUGAAUUUUAUGUAUUCAUGCACGCAUCCCAAAAAUUCUGUCGACACAGCAAUUUCAAGACAAGGAGGAAAGGGAGAGAAAAUAUUUGGGUUUCGAUCCCUAUAAAUCCCCAACUUGCUCCUUUUAAAAUACACACAUUCCCUUAAAAAGAAGAAAACUAUUCUACAGUCCCAUUUUUUGAGAAAUAAGAGCUACUGGCAAGACAUAACUGAAGCUUAAUAGUUUUCAAAUCUGGUACAAUCUGAACAACUUCACUACCAAGCAACUAUAGUUAAGAUAUUAAUAACUUCUUUACAGAAUAAUUUAGAGUUCAGACAAUUCCAGGGAGUGGCCUGAAACUGGAAAGGUAGGGUGCUCAGGGUACUCAGCCCUUAGCACUAAAUGUGAAGGUCCUUAACUCACAGAGUGAACAAAUCAUACAUUUCUGUUUCAGUCAACAUGAAAGCAGAUUCAGUAUGAAUCACAUAACACUGCACAUUCACUGAAGUGAAUUCCCACAUUAUGUCAUCAGUGUGUUUGUUUAUUAGUUUACAGAAUUUGAACAUAAUCCACAACACCAAUAUUAAGAUAGAAAAAGAAAGUAAAAAAUAAAAGUCAGAUAUCCGAUUCAAACAACUGCUAUGAACUUCCUCCAUUCUGUGAAAUAUACACCUAAAGGGCAAGGCUGCUCUUUUCUUCUAACAAGCCAAGGCACAAUCAGACUAUAUGAGAACCAGAAGAAAACUUGCAUCUCAGUUCUUGUGCCCACACUUACAAAUAGUUCCUGUCUUCACAACAGAAAAAAAGGCAUGUCCUGGAUCUGGAGACCACAAAACCUGAGGAAGUCCAGAUCCAUCCUGAAACUUCACAGCUGAUACUUUUCUUUUAAUUUAUCACACAGUGAAUUCACUGGGUUUUGAAAGAUUUACUGCAAAUUAGAUUACAGAUUAGCUGUACUGAAGCUGAAAUCAAUAUAUUACCACUUCCUGAAACAACUUCAGCUUUUUGUUAGUUUGCAGACAACAUCACUGUAAGCACUGGCACCCACUUGGCCAUCAGCAGAAUGUACACUUUGAUAAAUAUUCUAAAUUAAGCACAUAUGAGAGCCUGAGAACCACAAUGACAUGCACCUUGGAAUGAGACUCGGAAUAUUUCGUCUGGCAGAGUUCAAAAGGCUUUUCAUCUGGGAGCAGCUGCAGCUUGGUUAGCACAAGAAUGGAUUGAUUGUAAUUUAUAACACAGAAUAUGGAUUAAUGCAAUAUUCAUGGAAAACCAUGUGUGCAGAGCUCCAUCUGUCCAGUGGAGUUCUGAAAGCAUUUUACUUUGGGAAAGAAUGACGAAACCAGAAAGCAUUUGCCUUCACUGCAUCCAAGCUGAGAACAAAGGUAUUUUCCUUGCUUUGGUGGUAUACAAACAGGUAGUAAAGUCUCAGAUGACUCCCUUCAAGCCUUACCCAAAGAGGGCUGGAACAGCUCUGGUGGUCUUCAAGGGUCUGUGAUUCAGCUGCCUUCUUGUUUUUGCCUGCAAAAUUACAGAGACUACAAGAUGCAUUGGGUCUAUAUGGAAUAUCCUCACAGAACUUCUGCUCUUGAGAUCAGAGCUGGUGGCCAUAUAGACAAGGACCCAUGCACAGCCAAGAGGGGCUAUAAAUAGGAGGAAGGCCAGUACAUCAAAGCCAGCAGUCUUGUACAGUAUUAAUAAACACUUAGGUGACUGAAUAAGCCACUGCAGUGGAAAUGCUAAGCCAUGGCCUGAAACAGUGCUUGAGCACCUGGUGGGAAGGCAGGGCCAACUUGGGAGCUCAGGUGCACUGCGUGCAUCUGAGUGACUGGAAGGGGUGGAGCCAGGAUUCACCCCUGCCCAGGCCUCAUUUAAGGGUUGGCAUGGGAGAUGAGGGUAUCUGUUGUUGGAGAUCCCUGCCUACUUGAGGCUUUCCAAAGCAUUACAACCACCAAGAACAAUCAUACACGCUCAGGCAGAGGCGAUGAAGAUAAUGGACAGACCACAGGACUCAUUCUUCUAUCAAAGGCUGAAUAGACUAUUGCAGUCUCUGCUAUACUGUGCACGAUGAAGAGGCCAGCCAAACUUCCACACUUAGGCUGAACAGUCCCAGCUCUCACUGCCUCUUCUCGUGGAAGAGGUGCUCCAGUUUCUUUGUCAUCUUUGUUCCCACUUUCACUGAACUCUUUUUCCAAUACAUCCAUGCCUCCCAGAAAUAGACGCAGCAGACAAGCUGUGGCCUCACCAGCACUGAGUACAAGAGAAGGAUCUUCCUUUUUGACCUGCUGGCAACGCUCCUUCUAAUGCAGCCUAGGACACUGUUAGCCUUCUUUGCUCCAAGGGCUCAUUGCUGGCUCCUGCUCAACUUGGUGUUCAUCAGGAUCUCAGGUCCUUUCCUGGCAAGCUGCUUUCCAGCUGGUUGGCCUGCAGCCUGUACUGUUACACAGAGGGUUGUUCCUCUGCAGGAACUUUGCUCUUGUUGAGCUUCAUGAGGUUCCUGGAUAAUAGAUGCUGUACACAUAUGCUGCUGUUGGAAUGAGUAACACUCAUUCCCUUUGCAAAUUGGAAUCGUUAUGGUGGAUUUUAUGCACAGAAAUCAUUCUUUUUCCAAUAAGAUGAAAUUCUGCAGCUGCUUUAAUACAUGAGGCAUCAAUUUAAGAUUUGAAGUAAAUAAUAAGCUCCUGAAGAGGAAUACACUUCUACCAAGCGAGCUUGCAAAAAAAGGGAGAGUGCAGUUACCCGAGUUUGAAUUGAGCCAGGAUACUGGAGCAUGUCAAAGGUUACGAUCCUCAUCCAGGAGAGAUCACAGAUAAUUAGAGCAAUUAAAAAUGCCUUGGGAAGACAAACCUUGACCAGUUAAGGCCACCUCUCACUGCUUGGCAUGGAGAUACCAUAGCAUCCACAGUUUUCUUGGUGCUUGUGUGUGGCCAAACUGGGAAUCCCAGCCUUUCCAAGAGACAUCAUGUCCAGAAGAUCUGACCAAAGAGGCAUGGCAAGAGGAGAAAACAAUUACAGUGGCAUGGAGACACCUAACACAACUUCCUAGAUACAUAUUUAUGCGAAGACUUAAGCAAACCACAACCUAUUUGAAAACAUGCCCAUAGAUUCCUUUCUGUCAGGAGAGUUGUAUUCAGCACACUUUCAAAGCCUGAUUAUAGGCAUUUAUACCACACAACCUGCAAUCCCUUUUAA
Lagopus muta (rock ptarmigan) is the source of this 3703-nucleotide long non-coding RNA. RefSeq lists it as uncharacterized. The record is from RefSeq and is a predicted model, not a curated record. NCBI's taxonomy places the organism in Eukaryota, Metazoa, Chordata, Aves, Galliformes, Phasianidae. The transcript has 3 exons.